UACGGAGGAUGCGAGCGUUAUCCGGAUUUAUUGGGUUUAAAGGGUGCGUAGGCGGUAUUUUAAGUUAGCGGUAAAACGUCGGGGCUUCACCCUGAUUGGCCAUUAAAACUGGAGUACUAGAGUACAGACGAGGUAGGCGGAAUAAGUUAAGUAGCGGUGAAAUGCUUAGAUAUAACUUAGAACCCCGAUAGCGAAGGCAGCUUACCAGACUGUUACUGACGCUGAAGCACGAGAGCGUGGGUAGCGAACAGG
Molecule: ribosomal RNA, 252 nt
Filed under: uncultured bacterium
Lineage: Bacteria
Description: partial 16S ribosomal RNA
Rfam family: Bacterial small subunit ribosomal RNA
Source: RNAcentral